GCAAGACGGGCGCGGCGGCCUCGCCCCCAGGGCUGCGCAGCCACAGUGCAUGGUUGUAUAUCCUAGUUGUAAGUCCUUCUAGUACUUCUGUGUGAGCUCCCACCACAGCAUGGCAGCUGACAGACCCUCAGGAACCGAACUGGGAGGCAGAAGUGACCUGCAGGGGAAUUAUUUUUCAUGUGUGAUGUCACAUGGGGACCAAAAUUCUUUCUUCCAUAUGGACAUCCAGUUAGCGCAGCACCAUAUAGUCAAAGAUCUUCCUUGCCCCAAUGUACUGCAGUGUUAACUUUGCUGGAAAUCAGGUGACCAAUUCUUUGAUGAAGUUCUGAGGGAAUACAAAGAGUUACCCAGCAUGUCCACGGCAGGUAGACUCUUGCCCUAAGACUGGCUUUGGAACCAUCUGAGGAGCUGCUGGAAGCUGUUGCAACAUUGGUGGUGCCCUGUGAACAGAUCUCUGGUGACCAACAAAGAGCUUCUUGGCUCACAGAUGGAAGUUCCAAGAUGAGCAGACAGCAUCUUGUUUGGAAGGCUGCCACUCUGACUGAAAAAGGCAAAAACAAAUCAAGUAUAUUGGGAAAUGGAGUUAAAAGCCUCCUAUCCUUAUCCCGCCCUGUGUCCUCCAAACGUUAGGCAUAUUCAUGUUGGACUCCUGCUGCCUAUGUUAUAUAAAUGCUACACCAAAUGGAGGUGCUCAGACAGGUUUGAUCAUUCUGUUAUAAGGGAACCAUGCCCAAAGACCAGGGGGUGGCCUCUGUUUAUAAGAAAGAACUUGUCUGGUCUUUGUCCUGAGU
RNAcentral lists this long non-coding RNA (791 nucleotides) under Equus asinus (donkey). RNAcentral describes it as "lncRNA (ENSEASG00005029157.1)". The record is from RNAcentral. Lineage: Eukaryota; Metazoa; Chordata; Mammalia; Perissodactyla; Equidae.